This 1280-nucleotide unclassified non-coding RNA is filed under the name Hevea brasiliensis (rubber tree). The record is from RNAcentral. Lineage: Eukaryota; Viridiplantae; Streptophyta; Magnoliopsida; Malpighiales; Euphorbiaceae.
GGCAGUCUCAGUUGGAGGCCUUGCCAUUUUCUUGGUUCUUGCUUCUUUGCUCAUGGUUUCUUACCCCAUUCGUUCCACCGUCCGUGGAUAUUUUUAUGGUGUUGAUAACUCAAAUAAAUUGGCUUUGCCGGUCUUUCCUGGGAACGAAAGCCAUGAUAGUAAUGUAGACGUGAUUAAUAGUGAUUCUCCAUCUGGAACUAGUUUAGAAGUACCCAUUAGUUCUAGUGGUGUUAACGAUAGUGUAAAUGACAUAGAUAAGAAUUCUUUGNUUUGCCGUCAGAGUCUGAUCUACAAAUUCCCACCGCCAAUGCCAGCCAAGCAGAGGGGGUCAAGGAGAAGGGGAGUCGAGUUGCUUACAGUGGUAAAGGAAAUGUUGUGUCUAAUAAUUCUGGUGGUGUAGAUAAAAGAUCAGUUCAAACUAGCCUGGCUAUUUCUGCUCCAGAUUCUAAAUCAGAGGCUAAGCCAGUUUUAUCUGAUGUUUCCAGCAAUGCAACCCCGAUUAGUUCAGAUGAUUCUGGUUGUGAUCUGUACCAUGGAAUUUGGUUGUUUGAUUCACAGGGACCAUCAUAUACAAACAACACAUGCCCUGUACUGACACAGAUGCAGAACUGCCAGGGGAAUGGGAGACCUGACAAGGAGUAUGAGAAUUGGCGUUGGAAACCAUCUCAAUGUCAACUUCCACGAUUUGAUGCCAAGAAGUUUUUGGAAUUGAUGAGAGGAAAGACCCUAGCUUUCAUUGGCGACUCUGUUGCCCGAAACCAGAUGGAAUCAAUGUUGUGCCUUCUCUGGCAGGUAGAAGUUCCCAAAAACCGUGGGAACAAAAGAAUGCAGCGAUAUCUCUUCAAGUCAACAUCUACCAUGAUUGUACGAAUAUGGUCCUCUUGGCUUGUUCACAAGACAUCAGAACCUCUUGACUUUGCUCCAGAAGGCAUUGUAAAACUCCACCUUGAUGCUCCAGAUGAGGAUUUCAUGGAAUUCAUCCCAAGUUUCAAUGUGAUUGUUCUUUCUUCUGGUCAUUGGUUUGCCAAACAAUCUGUCUAUGUUUUGAACGAUGAAAUUGUGGGAGGACAGUUGUGGUGGCCAGACAAGUCUCGUUCAAUGAAGGUUAACAAUAUUGAAGCAUUUGGAAUAUCUACCGAGACAAUUCUCACAUCUAUUAUUACCCAUCCAAAUUACACUGGGCUGACCAUUCUGCGUUCUUAUUCACCUGAUCACUAUGAAGGUGGGGCCUGGAAUACUGGGGGAUCAUGCACUGGAAAAGUGAAACCUCUUGCUCCAGG